ACGCCGUUGUGGGAGGAUCGCGCGCGCGCGCCCAUUCGCCUUACUUCAUUUUUACAAGACAUUUCGAGUUUAUCAUUUUACAAAAUUAAAACAACACACGCGGCCUCGUUGACAAACAUUUUCUGAUUAUUGUUUUUUUGUUUCAAAUUACAAAAGAUUCGGAAAAAAGGGAGGUGGAGGAUAAAAGUACCCACGCAUUUGCAAUAGAAGCGAAUAACGAGGAGCAGAA
Molecule: long non-coding RNA, 229 nt
Organism: Copidosoma floridanum
Lineage: Eukaryota; Metazoa; Arthropoda; Insecta; Hymenoptera; Encyrtidae
Source: RefSeq, a predicted model, not a curated record